GAUGAGAAGAUCUUAUGUAUGAGUAUCUUCUGAAAUGAGAUUGGAUUAAUGUCUUAUAAGAAGUUCUGAUCUU
Small nucleolar RNA from Vicia villosa (hairy vetch), 73 nucleotides. RefSeq annotates it as small nucleolar RNA SNORD61. Lineage: Eukaryota; Viridiplantae; Streptophyta; Magnoliopsida; Fabales; Fabaceae. The transcript has a single exon. The record is from RefSeq and is a predicted model, not a curated record.